AUGUUGAGGAUUGUAACAUGAAGCACUAGCCGUUGAAGAAAUUCCGGCUAGUGAUCAUGUUACAAUUCCCAUCAUU
MicroRNA precursor from Nicotiana attenuata, 76 nucleotides. It matches the Rfam family "MIR6145 microRNA precursor family". The record is from Rfam. NCBI's taxonomy places the organism in Eukaryota, Viridiplantae, Streptophyta, Magnoliopsida, Solanales, Solanaceae.